UAUAUAUAUAUAUAUAUAAAGUGUUUUUCGAAAGCACUUGAGCAGCUAACGGUCACUGUGAUUUUGCCAAGUAGCUAAGACAUGUUCCUGAAUCAACAUCUUUGAUGAUGCUGGAUCAACAUUAUUGCCCAAAAAUAUAUAUUUAAACCCAAUCCCUACCCCUAAACCUAACCCUGCCCAUAAUCUGUUAAAAUCUGUGGGAAAUUAUAGCUGAUUAACAAGAGUAUAGAAGCACUAACCCUGACGGUAAUCAUAAAACUGAUAUUUCCUUAAAAGUUAUAUCCCAUUCUGAUUGGUUGAUUGGAAUGUUGUUCCAGGAACAUGUUGUAGCUACUUGGCACAGCAACUUUGCUUAUUAGUCUACCCUGACUCAUUUAUAGCCUCAUCUCACCUUUGUGUUUACUAACGUUUGAAAACUCUCUUGAAACAAAUAGUAAAAGAACAGAUGUUCUUAAGACCCCCGUCAACCUUUUGUUUUUACUUCCGACCUUUGGAGCGAAGAGUGGGCAAAACCGACCACGCGCACACACAAACACACUAUUCUCACUGUCAUUUACAUAGUUUUGUUGACGGCAGUUCAGCAGCGAAAAAGGACUGGCUGGAUUCUCCGAGACACUUCAGAGGGAAACCAUUUAAACUGAGAGGCGCGCGACCGUCAGCUUGUCUCGCGCAGAACACUUUCAGCACUGCACGCUUUCUUCCAGUGUGCGUCACAUCGUUGCGUCUCUGUCAGCCGCGGAUGAAUUAAAGGUCGACCCGAGUCUCCAAAGAAGAUUCAAGAACAAGGAUCAUAUUUUAACCAUAAUGCCAAAAAUGGUUUCAUCUGGGGAUUCAAAAGACGUGUCAAAGUCAUCACAGAGCAAUGGACAUCACACAUCACACAUAUUUCAUUGUUUUACGACCCUCGUAUGUUUCAUGUUGUCUGCGUCUUCGGUGGCAGUUUGUCUGUUUAUGAACGUCAAAACAUCUCAUCUUGAGCGUAAAAUGGAGAUUCUGGAGAUGGAGCGACUGUCUGUGAUGGAACCUGUGCACGCGACCCUGGAUGCGAACGCGACCCUUCGGGAUGCGAUAGAGAAACUUGUGCAAGAGAGACUCAAAGAGGGGGUGUCGAAAAUUCGCACAGCUCGAGAAGCAGCGCAAGAGUGCUCGUGUCCUCCAGGAGCAUCUCUGUCAUUCAACCUCAGGUCUCUGGUCAGGAGGCGCAGAGGUCAUGACCCUGCCAGCAGUGGAUGCUGAGAGAAGGUCUUUGUGUCGACAGAGGUGAGAGGAUUUCAGAGCCACUGACUGACAGAUUAUCAGUGCCUUACAGCUCUGACACAUACAAAAUCAAACAGGAAGAGCUUGAUGUAUAAUCACAGAUAUAAGUUGUAUCUAAUUAGAAGAAGACCUAAGAUUGUUGUUCAGCACAUUUUGAGAUAUUAACAAUAUAAAAGGGCCUAUAUACGGAUGAUUUGUGUCUUUAUUAUACAAAUUCUUGAAUAAUUAAUACUUUGUGUUGUUCAAAAGCAAAUAUAUUGUAUGCAGAUGUCCUUAGAGCCAUCUAAAGAGGGUUGGAAAUCAGAUAAAUUAUUGUUAAUUCUCAGAGGAAUCUGUUCAUUGCAGCUACUCUGAGUCCUGCUUUUGACACAAUCUGCUCUCAAUUACUCUACCCAGAGUUUAAUAGACGCUUCAAAAACUCUGCCUAACAUCUACCACAACAUCUUUGGUUCAGAAAGAAGGGGCAAUUUAUUGAAUGAUGUAAAGAUCAUUCAAUGAGUUUUAUGUCAGAUAUUAUCAAAACAAAUAUUUUUGCAUUAAUUUAAUCAGAUUUUAUUAUUUUUUUCAGGCUGCUAUGUAUACUUUUGUUUUAUCAAAGCAAUGAAAUAUAGUUUUAAAGAAUGUUCUUUAAUGAGAACUGAAUGUAAUGUUUUCAUAUACUUAAUUAAUUAAAUAUGUAUCAUAGUUUACAUUUAUAUUACAUUCAGUUACCAGAAUUUUAGAGUGCCUUUUUAAAGCAGUUAAGUAGGACUUAAUCUAAUUUCACAAUUACACAUAUUGUCUGUAAAAAUAAAAUGCACUUUGAUUUAUGUCAUGUAUAUGUAAUUUCACAUUUGUUAUGAAGAAGUUGCUAUUUAGUACAUUUAAAAUAAAGUAAAAUUAACAUUCUUUUAUAAAAAUGAAAUAUAAUAUUGAAUAACACUAAAGUUAAAAUUUUAAUCAAGAAAUUUAGUUUUGCUUAUGUAUUUUAAGCAAUGCAUCAAAAUAAGUGUAUUCAUUUAAAGCAUUAUUAAAUAUUAUGUAAGCAAUCGUUUAAAAUGUACUUUAAAGUAAAAAUUGACAUUACAAAGUGCACUUUUACUUAAGUGUGUUGAGAAACAGUCAUGAAAGUGUUCUCUCUGUAGGUACACUUAAGCUGCUUUUUAUUACAUUAAUAUUAUACUUUGUACAAUUACAUCUAAAAAAAAAAGUUAAGUGAAAGUGACAUUCAGCCAAGUAUGGUGACCCAUACUCAGAAUUUGUGCUCUGCAUUUAACCCAUCCAAAGUGGACACACACAAACCGUGUACACACACCCAGAGCAGUGGGCAGCGCCCAAAAAGCAGUUGGGGGUUCAUGCCUUGCUUAAGGGGACCUAAAUAAUACCUUA
RNAcentral lists this long non-coding RNA (2625 nucleotides) under Carassius auratus (goldfish). RNAcentral's name for it is "lncRNA (ENSCARG00000047009.1)". Lineage: Eukaryota; Metazoa; Chordata; Actinopteri; Cypriniformes; Cyprinidae. The record is from RNAcentral.